Molecule: long non-coding RNA, 204 nt
Filed under: Mytilus galloprovincialis (Mediterranean mussel)
Lineage: Eukaryota; Metazoa; Mollusca; Bivalvia; Mytilida; Mytilidae
Source: RNAcentral
GUGCGUAGACAAUAAAUGGGAGUUUUAGCCCCUAUCACAUCUAAAAUUAUGCGUAAAGUGAUAUUACUUAUUAACCAUACAUAUUAGAGACCUAGGGUCUUUUGAUUUGAGAUCCUUGGUCCAAAAAAAUGAAAAUAAUAUCAAGGUCAAAGGUCAAGGUCAUAUUCUAAAUUUUUUGAUUUUGGCUUAUUUUCACUAAUUUUC